ACUCCGCCCCUGCAGGAAGGACCCCGCGCCGCCUUAUGAUUGGCCGCGGGGUGGCGCCGAUCCUUUUCUCUUCCGGUCGCAGGAGCUGCUGCCGCCGCCAUGAAUGACACAGUGACUAUCAGAACCAGGAAGUUCAUGACCAACAGACUUCUGCAGCGCAAGCAGAUGGUGAUUGAUGUUCUUCAUCCUGGGAAGGCCACAGUCCCCAAAACAGAAAUCAGGGAAAAGCUGGCAAAAAUGUACAAGACAACCCCUGAUGUAAUUUUCGUCUUUGGCUUCAGAACUCACUUUGGUGGUGGCAAGACAACCGGUUUUGGCAUGAUCUAUGAUUCCCUGGACUAUGCAAAGAAAAACGAACCAAAGCACAGGCUUGCCAGGCACGGCUUGUAUGAAAAGAAAAAGACUUCCAGGAAGCAGCGAAAAGAGCGUAAGAACAGAAUGAAGAAAGUCAGGGGCACAGCCAAGGCAAAUGUUGGUGCUGGCAAGAAGAAGGUAAACUAUGUGUUGUAUAGCUUGUCAUCAGCUCAGUAGCUUAGUUGUGCUCCUCACUGCUGCCAGCCUAGCUGACUUGAUAUGAAACAAUGCUUCCUAAAUUACUGUUUCCUAUGUCACUUGAACUAAAGUUAAACUUCAUAAAUCUAACAGUACUGCUCUAAUCACAUAACUCAGCAAUACACACAUUAGAUAAUGUUAACACUUACCACUCAGGCUGCCUAAACCCUUAAUGCUUACUCCACCAAGUUACUGUUGGUAUGGUGUUACCCAGGUAAGUUUAGUGAGGAUGUGAGCUGUAGGAAGUGAGCACUGUGUGUAAAUAGAAAUAAGGUGGAAUGCCUUGGGGUUUGAGGGACUGAUGCCCACAGUAGUGCACUCUUUCUCUGUGAGGCUGGAAUGAUGCAGCCCUCCUGGGCUGUGGCUAGGACCUGAUACAAGCAGGUUGGAGGGAGGCAGAUUUCCUUUUCAUGAAACAGAACCAGAGCUGAGGAACAAGUUGGGUGGGAAGCUAGUCACUUACCUUCUCAUUGUUCCAUCUUCUGAUAAAUACUGAAUAAGCUGUGCAGGCUAGUGGGGUUUUUUUUUUUUUUUUUUUCCAGAUGUUUUAACAAGGGGAGAGAGGGUAAUUUGUUUUAAUGCUUAGUUCUGUAGCUGUGAAAAUACCUUGAUAUCUUGAACUUUAGUAAUCUUCACUUUUGCUUUUUUCCUACUUUCUUGGAACUCUCCAUCAGAAAUGAAGUAUCUGCAGGUACUGGAAAUGAGCAUGGAUUUGGUGCCUGAAUUAUGCAUCACUGAAAUGUGUCUAUCAUUUUAAUUGAAGCACUGUACUGCCUUGUAUGCAUGUUUGAUUUAAACUUUAGUUCUGUCAUGUGGGGGUUCGAUUAAUUACGUAAUGCAUUUUAUUCAUGUGACAUGGAAGUAAAAUUUGGCUAGUAGCAAACAAGACUUUUUGAAAUUAGUGAAUCAACUUCAAAAUAGUUCCCAGUGAGGAGAAAUCAAGAAACCCAAUGUUGUUGACAUGAGGCAUUGGUUCAGUCACCACAGGAUCUGAAUCAAAGUAGUACAGUGCAAUUGCAUGUGUAACUUGACCAUUGUGUGAAAGUAGUGGUGUACAUGAAGGCUAAGUCACAUCACACUUGGUGCAUUUGAGAUGGUGCUUGGAAAUGACAGUUGUCAGCAUUGAAGUGUAUUUAACUAUUGCCCUGCAAUACUCCCAAGUUAGGAUACAAAUUACAAUGGAAUUGGAAAUCUCAGUGACGUUAGAUAUUGUAGGUAGUGUGGAAGUGAAGUUCUUGUUAUGCCUGGAUGGAAAGGAACCAGUGUUACUGACAGUUACUAGAUCAGGGAACUAUUCUAUUAGAAAACAUUAGGAGCUUUCUUCCUUUGUGCUUUAAUGCACAAUCAUGAAGUCCUACAAUGGUUUGUUUAUGGCAGUGAGCUUUUGAUAUAGUAGUAACACCUAAUGUACACACUUCUGUCAAUGGCAAAGGAGUAAUUUUGUGUUGCACCAAUCCUGGUAGUAUGGAGGAACUUAAGACUUCUGCACCUGGAGGUGUUGUGGAGUGCAAAUGGAAAGUGAUCAAAUGACUCACUUGAAUUAUUAGUGGUGUCCAGUUCAUAGAAGCUUUCUUAAAGCAUAUCAACAGUUCAGAAAUUGAAGGCAAGGAUCCUGCCCUGUGGUAAUUAUGUAGGAGAUGUGACUUCUGUAUUGAGUGCAUGUCAAACUAACAUGCAAUCUUAGUAGUAGGUGAACUGUGUUUUUGGUUAGAGAUAUUUUGAUGUCUUUGAAAAUGAUCGUUCAGUUGAUAACUAUGCAUGGGUUAGAUGUGACUUGUUUACCAGAUGUGUUAAUCUUUGUUGUUGUCACUUAAGAUUAAUUAUUUUGUGCAUUUCCUAAACAACUUACUUGACAACAAUUCUGUGCUGCGUUAUAGAAAAAUAUUUGGGAAAUACACUAAGCUUUGCCUUCAGAAAUGCAUGUUCUAAGAUCAUAUUGUGGUAUGGUUCAUCAUCCUUAUCACAGCUAUAUGGAGGAAUUUUUAAUAGGAGCCCUGGAAUACAUUUCUGCGUCCACCUGCAGAAUCUGUGAGAAUUGUUUUAUUUUGUAAAUGUGUCUACUUGAUUCUGAGAAAUGUUCAGGCAAGUGUAUAUUAUUCUAAAAGUUACAUAUGAUGUAGUUAUGAAAAAUUCAGACAUAACUAUGCUGAUGUCUUGUUUAGUUUUCUUUGAUGCUUCCUUUCACUUCUUACUCCUUUAGAAUUCCCAUUCUGUUUUCCGUGCAGUUUCAAGGGAAGUGCUUUAAAGAAUUUUUUAAACAUAUUCUGUUGCUCUAGAGUUUGAGCUUGCUAAAAUUUGCAACAAGUAUAUGUGGAUGUGCCUCACCUGGUUGGUUGCAUUCAAAAUCGUGGUACUGAAAUGCAAAAAAAACCCACCCUCCCUUUUAAUGUCACAGCUGUAGCUGUGACAGCCUUUGACAGGUGAGGCUGUCAAACAGAGGUGUGCAUGGAUAAGCACUUUGAAGCCAUUGUAGCCUGUAGGUCUAAUUGAACAUGCAGUUAGUUGCAUUCUGAGCAUUAGUUAAGCUCUAAAUAGCUGUUGAGUUUAAGGGAGUGAGUGAAAUCUAAGUCUUCAGUCUCUGCAGUAGUCAAAAUUUCAAGGGUUUGCUAUCACAUUUCAGUGUGGUUAAUGGAAAGAAGAACUUUGAGUGUCACUAAAAUCCCUCAAAGCUCGAUUUUCUACAGGAGUAGAAUUUGGAUGAAAUCCUUACUAAUUGAUGCUUUCUGUUUUUCAGUAAAUGAACAUUCUUCGGGUGGAAAAUGGAAAACAGGCAGCAUCAUUCUAUGAAGAAGUAUAGAAUGAAUUGCUCUGGAGGGCAGAAGCUGCUCAUCUGACUAACAUCAAAUAAACUCUUGUCAAUAAAAUACUGGCUUGCUUUUUAAUUUUGAUUUGAAAGCUACCCUUUUGUAAAGUUUGAGAAAUUCAGUACAGGUGUACUGUUUUCACUGGAUUAAAAUCUUUUCAUAACUGACCAA
RNA transcript from Oenanthe melanoleuca, 3527 nucleotides. It is a transcript of the gene named ribosomal protein S24, with no coding region annotated. Lineage: Eukaryota; Metazoa; Chordata; Aves; Passeriformes; Muscicapidae. The record is from RefSeq and is a predicted model, not a curated record. The transcript has 6 exons.